UGGUGGAGUGAUUUGCGUUAACGAACGAGACCUUAACCUGCUAAAUAGCUACGCGUAGCUUCGGUUACAUGGGCAACUUCUUAGAGGGACGUUGCGUGUCUAACGCAAGGAAGUUUGAGGCAAUAACA
This 128-nucleotide ribosomal RNA is filed under the name uncultured eukaryote. Its description in RNAcentral is "partial 18S ribosomal RNA". It matches the Rfam family "Eukaryotic small subunit ribosomal RNA", at positions 1299 to 1458 of the family's 1831-position model. The record is from RNAcentral.